GCUUUGCCUACAAGAGCCUGAGAUGUUGGUACAUUUAUUUCUUAAUUGUGAGCAGACACCACGUGUUUGGUUCGCAUUCAGUAUAGACCUUAUAAUUGAUAAUGCGGAUAGGCCUCUGUCCUUUUGAAUUUUCUUUAUCCUAACUAAUAAAGCUAUGAUGACUCAUAGGGCUUUCUAUGUUCAUUUGUUAUGGAGCUUAUGGAAAGGAAGGAAUAAAAUGAUUUUUGAAGGAAAAAUUUUCAAUAUUACUACCAUCAUUUCACGGGCUCGUAGCUGAACGACCUUAUAUUCUAAAGAGAACAUGAUGAUGAUUAGCAUUCAGAACCCAACUUU
This 333-nucleotide long non-coding RNA is filed under the name Ananas comosus (pineapple). Its description in RNAcentral is "long non-coding RNA (ACOM_LNC041211)". Lineage: Eukaryota; Viridiplantae; Streptophyta; Magnoliopsida; Poales; Bromeliaceae. The record is from RNAcentral.